GAUGAACGCUGGCGACGUGCCUAAUACAUGCAAGUCGAGCGAACGGACGAGAAGCUUGCUUCUCUGAUGUUAGCGGCGGACGGGUGAGUAACACGUGGAUAACCUACCUAUAAGACUGGGAUAACUUCGGGAAACCGGAGCUAAUACCGGAUAAUAUUUUGAACCGCAUGGUUCAAAAGUGAAAGACGGUCCUGCUGUCACUUAUAGAUGGAUCCGCGCUGCAUUAGCUAGUUGGCAAGGUAACGGCUUACCAAGGCAACGAUGCAUAGCCGACCUGAGAGGGUGAUCGGCCACACUGGAACUGAGACACGGUCCAGACUCCUACGGGAGGCAGCAGUAGGGAAUCUUCCGCAAAGGGCGAAAGCCUGACGGAGCAACGCCGCGUGAGUGAUGAAGGUCUUCGGAUCGUAAAACUCUGUUAUUAGGGAAGAACAUAUGUGUAAGUAACUGUGCACAUCUUGACGGUACCUAAUCAGAAAGCCACGGCUAACUACGUG
RNAcentral lists this ribosomal RNA (497 nucleotides) under uncultured bacterium. Its description in RNAcentral is "partial 16S ribosomal RNA". It matches the Rfam family "Bacterial small subunit ribosomal RNA", at positions 28 to 507 of the family's 1533-position model. The record is from RNAcentral.